UUCACUUCACUUCAAUUCUAUUCGGUUUUAUUUACAAAUCUUCAUACUUUAUUUAUAGUAUUGAUUAGUUGGCCUCAAUUUUAAUUAAAUUAUGGUGCUGCUGCAGUCCUAUAAUGCAAAGAUAUCAGAUUUUGGACUUGCUAAGCUGGGUCCUUCAGCAAGUCAAUCCCAUUUGUCAACAACUGUAAUGGGCACACCUGGUUAUGCAGCUCCUGAAUAUAUGCAAACAGGUAAGUAAAUAAGUAAUUCAUUGCUUUUUAGUGCCCAAAUAAAAUGAAUUUCAUUGUUGAAGUAGCUACUAGCUACUACUACUAAUUGAAAUUGACAUAUACUAUAUGAUAUGCAGGGCAUCUAUAUGUAAAGAGUGACGUGUAUGGGUUUGGAGUUGUUUUGGUUGAGAUACUGUCAGGCCAACGAGCCAUUGAUACCAACCGUCCAACCGGGUAUCACAGUCUAACGGACUGGGUCAAACCAUUCCUACAUGAUAAAAGAAAAUUGAAGAAGAUUAUGGAUCCUCAUUUGGGAGAUAAAUAUCCAAGCAAAGCUGCAUUUCCUAUAGCUAAGCUUGCUUCAAAAUGUCUUGCACCCGAGCCCAAAAUGCGCCCGUCCAUGAAGGAUGUUUUGGAGAUCUUGCAAGGAAUUCAAGCUUCCACAAACAAAAACGUGGAGGUUAGGGGUGAUCAUUAAUUAAUUCAUUAUUAAUCCUAUUUAUAUGUGAAUUAAUUAAUGGACCUGUAUGAUUAAAAGGCUAUUGGUUGUUCAUUUUGUAUUUUCCUUGAACUCAAGUAGCUAGCUAGGUGUAUUUCUGUGGUGGCUUCAGUGAGUUGUGGAUUUGAUAUACAUGCCUCUAGUUAGUUCAUCAACAUGUUGUAUUGUAUCGUGUACCUAUAGUUCUAUAUUAGAAAUCCCAAAUAUUCAUUAUGGAUCUUGAUCAAACUCAUGGAUUAUUCUUGUAUUGUCACAAAACCAUAUAUAAAUCUCUUAGACACACUCACAAAAUAUAAACUCUACAUUUUGUUUUGAGGAGUGCUAUAUAGUGCGAAAAUCCUCUCCCGAAAUGAUCACGAAAAUGUACGCGUAUGUCAAAUUCAGCUCAUUUGUUAAUUUAAGGCAAAGCUCUUUUUUGGUUUUAAUUAAAACAAUAAUUAAUAAUACAGCAGUGUAUUGUGGAUCCACCGCUUGGGGAUUUUUUGUAACUAAUUAACCAGUUAUCCAUACUUCACUUCAAUUCAACCAAUAGCUUAUAAAAAAUUCAACACAUGCUAUGCUACUACUUCAUCCAAGAUCUGCUAUACAAUUUGCCACUUUCACAUUUAGUCAUGCGUUACUUUUUAGAACCACCUGUUUUGAUGAUAAAUUAUUGGAAUAAUAAAGAGAGGUUUUGUGAUAAGACGGUGAGAAACUAACAAAUGAAGAGAAAUAGAGCACUGCUAUUUGCAGCGAAAGAAAAUAUCACGAAUGGUUUCACGAAGUAUUGCCAUCAUUGGAUUUUGUUUGGUGGAAAACAUGAACGGUGGGAUGAAAAGAAGGGAGUAUGAGACAGUUUCAACAUACUGCUUACAAGUUGUCGUGAUGCAUUCGUGGGCAAAUUUGUCGCUAUAAGUAGCAUUAUAAGUCAUAUAAGGCGCACAACUCAUUCGGGAUGUGUUCGGGAAUUUUUACUCGUGACAUAUAGCAUUUUCCUUUUGUUUUUUUGAGUUUGUGAGUGUGCGUAAGCCUAAGACUUAUGACUAUGGAAGACUUUCUCCAAACUUAUAUAAGGAUUGUGACUCUCUCUUGAUGCACAAUAUAUUACAGAUAACAAUUAUCAAUAAAUCUCUUACAGGCCUAAUCUGUUAGCAGGUCUCUAACACACAUCAACACUUUACUUUGACCUAAUGUGAUAUACGAUUAGAAAAAUGGGGCAGCACGGAUCAUACUCCAAUACUAUUGUUCAAAGGGAUUAUAAACAUUCACCAUUUUAUUGAUCAUUAUUAUGAUCACCACAACCUUCAAAAAGGCACAGAGAAUAUAGUUGAUCAGUAAAAUCCAAAUGAACAAUUUGACCAUGAUUUGGAAAACUAGUGUGCAAAUCUUAAAAGCCAUACCUUUGGGUUUCUUGUGCUGCAUAUUGAUUACGGGGUGAGUUAUCUUCACCAGAAGUCUUUCGAAUGUCAGAAUCUACAAAGUCCCUAUGCGGACUUCCGAUAGUACUGCUUGCAAAUGGACUAUUAGGAGCACUUUUUGCAGAUCCAUUGUCACUUUUAUUAGAAACAGAUCCAUUGCCUACUCUUUUGUCCCU
Molecule: long non-coding RNA, 2281 nt
Filed under: Trifolium pratense (red clover)
Lineage: Eukaryota; Viridiplantae; Streptophyta; Magnoliopsida; Fabales; Fabaceae
Description: long non-coding RNA (TPRA_LNC001771)
Source: RNAcentral